Molecule: long non-coding RNA, 200 nt
Filed under: Panax ginseng (ginseng)
Lineage: Eukaryota; Viridiplantae; Streptophyta; Magnoliopsida; Apiales; Araliaceae
Description: long non-coding RNA (PGIN_LNC007824)
Source: RNAcentral
UUAUGUUACAUGUGUAUCUAAUAUGUUAGUCUGAAUAUCUAGUAGUUAAUUGAUAUCUCUUGGAUUGUUGAUACGCGUGGAUAUGCAUGAUAUCUAAUAUUUUAUUCUAUAUGCAUGCUAGCUAUAUUUGUUUGGAUGGUGAUAUGUGCUACACGUGGAGAUGAUUUACUAGACUAAAUGCUUGCAACCUUAUUUCUUGC